CCUACGGGAGGCAGCAGUAGGGAAUAUUGCUCAAUGGGGGAAACCCUUGAGCAGCAACGCCGCGUGGAGGAUGAAGGUUUUCGGAUUGUAAACUCCUUUUGUUAGAGAAGAUAAUGACGUUAUCUAACGAAUAAGCACCUGCUAACCCCGUGCCAGCAGCCGCGGUAAUACGGAGGGUGCAAGCGUUACUCGGAAUCACUGGGCGUAAAGGGCGCGUAGGCGGGAUAGCAAGUCAGAUGUGAAAUCCUAUGGCUUAACCAUUGAACUGCAUUUGAAACUGUUAUUCUAGAGUAUGGGAGAGGUAGGUGGAAUUCUUGGUGUAGGGGUAAAAUCCGUAGAGAUAAAGAGGAAUACUCAUUGCGAAGGCGACCUGCUAGAACAUAACUGACGCUGAUGCGCGAAAGCGUGGGGAGCAAACAGGAUUAGAUACCCGGGUAGUC
This 440-nucleotide ribosomal RNA is filed under the name uncultured bacterium. RNAcentral describes it as "partial 16S ribosomal RNA". It matches the Rfam family "Bacterial small subunit ribosomal RNA", at positions 338 to 795 of the family's 1533-position model. The record is from RNAcentral.